RNAcentral lists this ribosomal RNA (305 nucleotides) under uncultured bacterium. RNAcentral describes it as "bacterial SSU rRNA". It matches the Rfam family "Bacterial small subunit ribosomal RNA", at positions 333 to 658 of the family's 1533-position model. The record is from RNAcentral.
GGACCUACGGGGGGCAGCAGUGGGGAAUAUUGCGCAAUGGGGGAAACCCUGACGCAGCAACGCCGCGUGCGGGAUGAAGGCUUUCGGGUUGUAAACCGCUUUCAGCAGGGAUGACUUCGACAGUACCUGCAGAAGAAGCCCCGGCUAACUACGUGCCAGCAGCCGCGGUAAUACGUAGGGGGCGAGCGUUAUCCGGAUUUAUUGGGCGUAAAGAGUUCGUAGGCGGUUUGUUAAGUCUAAAAUUCAAGCCCGAGGCUUAACCUCGGUUCGUUUCAGAAACUGGCAAACUUGUGUGUGGUAGAGGG